Ficedula albicollis (Collared flycatcher) is the source of this 1485-nucleotide long non-coding RNA. RefSeq lists it as uncharacterized. NCBI's taxonomy places the organism in Eukaryota, Metazoa, Chordata, Aves, Passeriformes, Muscicapidae. The record is from RefSeq and is a predicted model, not a curated record. The transcript has 3 exons.
AGCGGCGCUGGGUCGCCGCGGGCGGGCGGAGCCGCUCCGGCGCUGCCGCUCCUGCUCCGGCUGUGCCCGGGGCGGGACCGGGGCUCGGAGCCGCUCCCGCCGCUCCACCGACACCCGCCCGGUGGGACUGGAUCCUCUCCCUCCUCUCCACCGCUUUCUCUGGGGCUCGCAGUCUCCAAAGGAAAAACCCGCGGGUUUAAAAAGCCCGUGAAGACUUUGACUUUUAAUUUCUAGAACACAGGAAAUUCUUAGUGGGAAAGAGCCACGAGGGUCAUCAAAUCAGACAGUGAUAAGAGACUGGUCCAUGCAGGGAUUGAAUUCAGAAUUUUGUCUUUCUUGGCUCCCUGCUCCAAGCACCUGAGCCGAUCUCAGGGUGUGAGGAAGGUCCUGCCUGGGGUGGGAAUGGCUGCUGCCAGCAAGGGAAUUCCUACGCAAAUGCAGCUCCUGUUUUUCUGCUAACGCUGUUUUACACACCAGCCCUUUUCAGGAUUUACUCAGCAGCUGUAAAGGUGCUCAUUCCGUGUCUCUUUCCAGAAGAACUGAGCAGGACAAGUCCUGAGGGGUCACUUGGUCCGUGGCCAAAGUUCUGGAGAGUGUCAGGGCUGGUCCAGCCUGCAGAGGGGCGUGUCCUGCAGGUGAGUGUUCACAGCCCAAAAUCACAGCAGUGCUGAGGCUGGGGCUGCUUUUCUGGCCCAGAGCUGCACGGAGCCCUCAGUGACUCCCACUCCGUGCCAGGAACGUUCCUUGGUGUUUCCCAGGUGUCCCAGCUGGCUGGGAAUGGGGGCAGGAGGAGGUGGGAGCCCCAGGAAGGGAACCAGCCCCUCUUGUCCUCGCUAUUUGCAGGGGAGGAGCUGUGCUGCAGUGUCCUGCCCGUGGCACAGCGUGCCGAGCACACAUCCCGGGGAUGGGCCCUGGGAUUCCUGGGCACUGCUGGGAUGGACGUGGAUAAAGGGCUGCCCACAGCUCCUGGGCCAGGGGCUGCCCUGAACAGGCACCUGGAGAUGCUUCAGCCCAGACAGACCCCACUGACCCCCAAAAUGACCCCAAGAACAGCUGGCAGCACCUGGGAAUGUGGGCAGGGUGUGUUUGCAGAGGGGCUCAGACAGGAAUUCCUGGUGCUGACCUCCUGGAGCUCCUGCACACCCCCAGGGAGCCAGCUGGAACCACAGAACUGAUGGAAAGCUUUCACAGGAGGUGUGCUCCAAGGGCAGAAGAAAUCCCAAUGUUGUCAGAGCUCCUGGAAAGUAGAUGGAACAAAAUAAGCUGCUGUCCUGCCAUUCACCUAUGUUUGUGAUCAUCCUCCUCCCUUCUAUGGAAAGAUCUGCAGAGUUAUCUCAGACCACAGCAGUGUCAAAUCUGAUCUAUGUUUUCACUGCAGUCCCAUCAUCAAAGUAAGUGCAAUACAGUAAGUUCUUGUAAGUUCUACCCCCAUUACAGUUUUCCUGAAAGCAACUAAGCCAACAAAACCUGAAAAAGUAUCUACUU